This 1560-nucleotide ribosomal RNA is filed under the name Salmonella enterica subsp. enterica serovar Stanley. RNAcentral describes it as "partial 23S ribosomal RNA". It matches the Rfam family "Bacterial large subunit ribosomal RNA", at positions 597 to 2141 of the family's 2925-position model. The record is from RNAcentral. Lineage: Bacteria; Pseudomonadati; Pseudomonadota; Gammaproteobacteria; Enterobacterales; Enterobacteriaceae.
CUGCGUACCUUUUGUAUAAUGGGUCAGCGACUUAUAUUCUGUAGCAAGGUUAACCGAAUAGGGGAGCCGGAGGGAAACCGAGUCUUAAUUGGGCGUUAAGUUGCAGGGUAUAGACCCGAAACCCGGUGAUCUAGCCAUGGGCAGGUUGAAGGUUGGGUAACACUAACUGGAGGACCGAACCGACUAAUGUUGAAAAAUUAGCGGAUGACCUGUGGCUGGGGGUGAAAGGCCAAUCAAACCGGGAGAUAGCUGGUUCUCCCCGAAAGCUAUUUAGGUAGCGCCUCGUGAAUUCAUCUCCGGGGGUAGAGCACUGUUUCGGCUAGGGGGCCAUCCCGGCUUACCAACCCGAUGCAAACUGCGAAUACCGGAGAAUGUUAUCACGGGAGACACACGGCGGGUGCUAACGUCCGUCGUGAAGAGGGAAACAACCCAGACCGCCAGCUAAGGUCCCAAAGUCAUGGUUAAGUGGGAAACGAUGUGGGAAGGCCCAGACAGCCAGGAUGUUGGCUUAGAAGCAGCCAUCAUUUAAAGAAAGCGUAAUAGCUCACUGGUCGAGUCGGCCUGCGCGGAAGAUGUAACGGGGCUAAACCAUGCACCGAAGCUGCGGCAGCGACACUGUGUGUUGUUGGGUAGGGGAGCGUUCUGUAAGCCUGUGAAGGUGUGUCGUGAGGCAUGCUGGAGGUAUCAGAAGUGCGAAUGCUGACAUAAGUAACGAUAAAGCGGGUGAAAAGCCCGCUCGCCGGAAGACCAAGGGUUCCUGUCCAACGUUAAUCGGGGCAGGGUGAGUCGACCCCUAAGGCGAGGCCGAAAGGCGUAGUCGAUGGGAAACGGGUUAAUAUUCCCGUACUUGGUGUUACUGCGAAGGGGGGACGGAGAAGGCUAUGUUGGCCGGGCGACGGUUGUCCCGGUUUAAGCGUGUAGGUGUGUGUUCCAGGUAAAUCCGGUUCACUUUAACACUGAGGCGUGACGACGAGGCACUACGGUGCUGAAGCAACAAAUGCCCUGCUUCCAGGAAAAGCCUCUAAGCAUCAGGUAACAUCAAAUCGUACCCCAAACCGACACAGGUGGUCAGGUAGAGAAUACCAAGGCGCUUGAGAGAACUCGGGUGAAGGAACUAGGCAAAAUGGUGCCGUAACUUCGGGAGAAGGCACGCUGACACGUAGGUGAAGUGAUUUACUCAUGGAGCUGAAGUCAGUCGAAGAUACCAGCUGGCUGCAACUGUUUAUUAAAAACACAGCACUGUGCAAACACGAAAGUGGACGUAUACGGUGUGACGCCUGCCCGGUGCCGGAAGGUUAAUUGAUGGGGUCAGCGCAAGCGAAGCUCCUGAUCGAAGCCCCGGUAAACGGCGGCCGUAACUAUAACGGUCCUAAGGUAGCGAAAUUCCUUGUCGGGUAAGUUCCGACCUGCACGAAUGGCGUAAUGAUGGCCAGGCUGUCUCCACCCGAGACUCAGUGAAAUUGAACUCGCUGUGAAGAUGCAGUGUACCCGCGGCAAGACGGAAAGACCCCGUGAACCUUUACUAUAGCUUGACACUGAACAUUGAGCCUUGAUGUGUAG